This 436-nucleotide ribosomal RNA is filed under the name uncultured Oscillospiraceae bacterium. Its description in RNAcentral is "bacterial SSU rRNA". It matches the Rfam family "Bacterial small subunit ribosomal RNA", at positions 341 to 792 of the family's 1533-position model. The record is from RNAcentral. RNAcentral also lists the same sequence under 1 other name. Lineage: Bacteria; Bacillati; Bacillota; Clostridia; Eubacteriales; Oscillospiraceae.
ACGGAAGGCAGCAGUGGGGAAUAUUGGGCAAUGGGCGCAAGCCUGACCCAGCAACGCCGCGUGAAGGAAGAAGGCUUUCGGGUUGUAAACUUCUUUUGUCAGGGAAGAGUAGAAGACUGUACCUGGCGAAUAAGCCACGGCUAACUACGUGCCAGCAGCCGCGGUAAUACGUAGGUGGCAAGCGUUGUCCGGAUUUACUGGGUGUAAAGGGCGUGUAGGCGGGACAUCAAGUCAGAUGUGAAAGCACGAGGCUCAACUUCGUGUCUGCAUUUGAAACUGACGUUCUUGAGUGUUGGAGAGGCUAACGGAACUCCUAGUGUAGCGGUGAAAUGCGUAGAUAUUAGGAAGAACACCAGUGGCGAAGGCGGUUAGCUGGACAAUAACUGACGCUGAGGCGCGAAAGCGUGGGUAGCAAACAGGAUUAGAUACCCUGGUA